Molecule: long non-coding RNA, 741 nt
Filed under: Zonotrichia albicollis (white-throated sparrow)
Lineage: Eukaryota; Metazoa; Chordata; Aves; Passeriformes; Passerellidae
Description: lncRNA (ENSZALG00000000607.1)
Source: RNAcentral
UUUUUUAUGGCGUUUUCCCAAAAAUUCCCGUUUUUGCGGCAUCUCCCCCCGGCAGAAGCGGCAGAUGGCCAGCGCCGACCGCGUCACGCUCUACGGGCUGAUGGUGAAGCCCAUCCAGAGGUUCCCUCAGUUCAUCCUCCUGCUGCAGGUGAGAGAAGGGAGGUUCUGGAGGACACCAGGGAGGUUCUGGAGAAGGUCAUGAGGAGCUUUUGGAGAAGGUUUUUUGGAAGGUUCUGGAGAAGGUUUUGGUGAGCUUUUGGAGGAGGUUUUUGAGAGGUUCUGGAGAAGGUUUUGGGCAAAGAUGCAAGAUUCUGGAGAAGGUUUUUGAGGAGGUUCUGGAGAAGGUUUUGGGAGGCUUUUGGAGGAGGUUUUUGAGAGGUUCUGGAGAAGAUUUUGGAGAGGUUUUGGGCAAGGUUGCAGAGAUUCUAGAGAAGGUUUUUUGGAGGUUCUGGAGAAGGUUUUUUGGAGGUUCUGGAGAAGGUUUUGAAGAGGUUCUGGAGAAGCAGCUUUUUGGGUGAUGCAGGACAGGGCCAUUUUUAAAAAUUUUUUUUAAUAUUUUUUAUUUUUUAAAAUUUUUGGAUCCAUCCCCAGGAUCAUCUCCUAAGCUUUGAAUUUGGAGGUGCUCAAAGUGCUCCCAAUUCCCUCAGUUCAUCCUCCUCCUGCAGGUGAGAGAAGGGAGGUUCUGGAGGACUUUGGGGAGGUUCUGGAGAAGGUCUUGGGGAACUUUUGGAGAAGAUUUUG